This is a long non-coding RNA of Mus musculus (house mouse), 837 nucleotides long. RefSeq annotates it as predicted gene, 46817. NCBI's taxonomy places the organism in Eukaryota, Metazoa, Chordata, Mammalia, Rodentia, Muridae. The transcript has 2 exons. The record is from RefSeq and is a predicted model, not a curated record.
UAGCCGACCUCCCUCCCCCGAGGUCGUCGCGUCCGGGCAGAUUUAGCUGUCAGAGAUUCCCGUUAGCUUUCCGAGGCACUGCCAGCUGCUUCGCCCAAGGGACUGGGGAGAAACAGUGUGAGCUACUGACUACACGGACUGAUGGAUGAGGCCAGACUUCCCUGGGACCCCGGGACACUUUCUUCCAUCCCCAAUCCCCCGUCGCGGAUAGUGCUGAGCUAGGUAGCAGGGUUGCCCGAGCUGUGCUCCGGGGAGCUCAGCCACUUCUCAAGACAAUCAAAUUUGGACGACCGAAUAAGCUGGCUGCAAAUUGAUCUGAGAACCCGGGAGAAGUUGCUCACCUCUCGAUUUUGCUACGGGAAAUUAUCUGGGGACGGAGGACAAAAGGCACAGAGGCGUGCUCUUUCUUGCGCACACUUUCGGCCGACCUGCCUCCGAGCAAGGCGCGCUCUAGGACUGCUACACCCCACGCUCCUAGCAACUUUAGGGACCAAGCGGCAGAGCUAGACCUUGUUUCAGCUAGAGCGCUGCAUCUCCGGGAGCGAUCUCCGGAUCUCCGGCUCAGUGAGCUGGACCUGGCUCCGGAGUCGGCCGCUUCUUACGAUUUACAUUUUAGAGUUUUGUUUUGCUUUGUUCGGUAUUUUCCUCAACUCUUACUAAGAUAGGGUAGAUUAAAACAAUCGAAAGUGCUCCUUAUCUUCGUGCCCAGGAUCCCACAACCUCUCAACCGCCCACUAGGUCUUUCCUCAGACCAGAGAGAUUUGUCAUCCCUUUGGGUGGGAGGGAACAAUAUGUUAUUAUUCUCGUUUCUCAAUAAGGAAAACAGAGUCUCUAUAA